This 538-nucleotide ribosomal RNA is filed under the name uncultured bacterium. Its description in RNAcentral is "bacterial SSU rRNA". It matches the Rfam family "Bacterial small subunit ribosomal RNA", at positions 360 to 915 of the family's 1533-position model. The record is from RNAcentral.
AAUAUUGGACAAUGGGGGCAACCCUGAUCCAGCAAUGCCGCGUGGGUGAUGAAGGCCUUCGGGUUGUAAAGCCCUUUCGCACGCGACGAUGAUGACGGUAGCGUGAGAAGAAGCCCCGGCUAACUUCGUGCCAGCAGCCGCGGUAAUACGAAGGGGGCUAGCGUUGUUCGGAAUUACUGGGCGUAAAGGGCGCGUAGGCGGCGCAUCAAGUCGGGCGUGAAAGCCCCGGGCUCAACCUGGGAACUGCGUUCGAGACUGGCGCGCUGGAGUUCGGGAGAGGAGAGUGGAAUUCCCAGUGUAGAGGUGAAAUUCGUAGAUAUUGGGAAGAACACCAAUGGCGAAGGCAGCACUCUGGGCUGGUAUUGACGCUGAGGAGCGAAAGCAUGGGUAGCGAACAGGAUUAGAUACCCUGGUAGUCCACGCUGUAAACGAUGAGUGCUAGACGUUGGGGCCCCUAGGGCUUCGGUGUCGCCGCUAACGCAUGAAGCACUCCGCCUGGGGAGUACGGCCGCAAGGUUAAAACUCAAAGGAAUUGACG